UACAGAGGUCCCGAGCGUUGUUCGGAUUUACUGGGCGUAAAGGGUGCGUAGGCGGCGGGAUAAGUCUGAUGUGAAAGCUCGGAGCCCAACUCCGAAAUGGCAUUGGAUACUAUUCUGCUCGAGGUUGGGAGGGGAGACUGGAAUUCUCGGUGUAGCAGUGAAAUGCGUAGAUAUCGAGAGGAACACCAGUGGCGAAGGCGAGUCUCUGGACCAAUCCUGACGCUGAGGCACGAAAGCCAGGGGAGCAAACGGG
RNAcentral lists this ribosomal RNA (253 nucleotides) under uncultured bacterium. RNAcentral's name for it is "partial 16S ribosomal RNA". It matches the Rfam family "Bacterial small subunit ribosomal RNA", at positions 524 to 776 of the family's 1533-position model. The record is from RNAcentral.